CCUACGGGUGGCAGCAGUGAGGAAUAUUGGUCAAUGGGCGCGAGCCUGAACCAGCCAAGUCGCGUGAGGGAAGACGGUCCUACGGAUUGUAAACCUCUUUUGUCGGGGAGCAAAAGACGCCACGCGUGGCGUUCCGCGAGUACCUGAAGAAAAAGCAUCGGCUACCUCCGUGCCAGCAGCCGCGGUAAUACGGAGGAUGCGAGCGUUAUCCGGAUUUAUUGGGGUUAGAGGGUGCGCAGGCGGAAGAUCAAGUCAGCGGUAAAAUUGAGAGGCUCAACCUCUUCGAGCCGUUGAAACUGGUUUUCUUGAGUGAGUGAGAAGGAUGCGGAAUGCGUGGUGUAGCGGUGAAAUGCAUAGAUAUCACGCAGAACUCCGAUUGCGAAGGCAGCAUACCGGCGCUCAACUGACGCUCAUGCACGAAAGUGUGGGUAUCGAACAGGAUUAGAUACCCCUGUAGUC
RNAcentral lists this ribosomal RNA (459 nucleotides) under uncultured bacterium. RNAcentral describes it as "partial 16S ribosomal RNA". It matches the Rfam family "Bacterial small subunit ribosomal RNA", at positions 338 to 795 of the family's 1533-position model. The record is from RNAcentral.